This 253-nucleotide ribosomal RNA is filed under the name uncultured bacterium. RNAcentral's name for it is "partial 16S ribosomal RNA". It matches the Rfam family "Bacterial small subunit ribosomal RNA", at positions 524 to 776 of the family's 1533-position model. The record is from RNAcentral.
UACGUAGGGUGCGAGCGUUAAUCGGAAUUACUGGGCGUAAAGCGUGCGCAGGCGGUUUUGUAAGCCAGAUGUGAAAUCCCCGGGCUUAACCUGGGAAUGGCAUUUGGGACUGCAAGGCUCGAGUGCGGCAGAGGAGACUGGAAUUCCUGGUGUAGCAGUGAAAUGCGUAGAUAUCAGGAGGAACACCGAUGGCGAAGGCAGGUCUCUGGGCUGACACUGACGCUCAUGCACGAAAGCCAGGGGAGCGAACGGG